RNAcentral lists this ribosomal RNA (537 nucleotides) under uncultured bacterium. Its description in RNAcentral is "bacterial SSU rRNA". It matches the Rfam family "Bacterial small subunit ribosomal RNA", at positions 8 to 526 of the family's 1533-position model. The record is from RNAcentral.
AGAGUUUGAUCCUGGCUCAGAAUCAACGCUGGCGGCGUGCCUAACACAUGCAAGUCGAACGCGAAAGUCCCGCAAGGGAUCAGUAGAGUGGCAAACGGGUGAGUAACGCGUGGGUGACCUGCCUUCGAGCGGGGGAUAACGUUCCGAAAGGGACGCUAAUACCGCAUAACAUCCUGCUUUUUAAGAAGUGGAGAUCAAAGCCUGGGACCGCAAGGCCAGGCACUCGAAGAGGGGCCCGCGUCCGAUUAGCUAGUUGGUGGGGUAAUGGCUCACCAAGGCUCCGAUCGGUAUCCGGCCUGAGAGGGCGGACGGACACACUGGGACUGAGACACGGCCCAGACUCCUACGGGAGGCAGCAGUGGGGAAUUGUUCGCAAUGGGCGCAAGCCUGACGACGCAACGCCGCGUGGAGGAUGAAGAUCUUCGGGUCGUAAACUCCUUUCGAUCGAGACGAACGGCUUCCGGGUAACAUCCGGAAGAGUGACGGUACCGAGAGAAGAAGCCCCGGCUAACUCCGUGCCAGCCGCCGCGGUAAUUC